Molecule: ribosomal RNA, 389 nt
Filed under: uncultured bacterium
Lineage: Bacteria
Description: bacterial SSU rRNA
Rfam family: Bacterial small subunit ribosomal RNA
Source: RNAcentral
GACGAACGCUGGCGGCGUGCUUAACACAUGCAAGUCGAGCGGUAAGGCCCCUUCGGGGGUACGACGAGCGGCGAACGGGUGAGUAACACGUGGGUGACCUGCCCUCAGCUCUGGGAUAAGCCUGGGAAACCGGGUCUAAUACUGGAUAUGACUCCAUGACGCAUGUUGUGGGGUGGAAAGCCUUGUGCGGCUGAGGAUGGGCCCGCGGCCUAUCAGCUUGUUGGUGGGGUGAGGCCUACCAAGGCGACGACGGGUAGCCGGCCUGAGAGGGCGACCGGCCACACUGGGACUGAGACACGGCCCAGACUCCUACGGGAGGGCAGCAGUGGGGAAGUCUUGCGCAAUGGGCGAAAGCCUGACGCAGCGACGCCGCGUGAGGGAUGACGGCC